Molecule: ribosomal RNA, 366 nt
Filed under: Triticum aestivum (bread wheat)
Lineage: Eukaryota; Viridiplantae; Streptophyta; Magnoliopsida; Poales; Poaceae
Description: partial small subunit ribosomal RNA
Source: RNAcentral
AUGCGCAACGAAGAGGCGGGCUUGCCGACCAGCUCGUCGGAGGUGAGAGACGAUGACCCGGUGAUGGAGGAAGCCUACGAUGACGAGCCGAAGGCACAUGCGCACUUCAAUGCUGUUAUGGCAAAGGAGCAAACCGUGUUGGCGUUCCAGCAAGCGCAGGAGGAGCAGCGGUACAACCUCGCCCUCUUCGCACAUCACCGUCUAGCGAAGGGCCAAAUCUACAUCGAGUUCGCGAGAGGUCAUGGUCAUGGACAACCCAAACUUCGUCGAGGAGCAGCGAGAAUUCUACGAGGUGUGCGCAGCACCCGCGUGGCGGUCCAAGACGAGAAUGCAUGCAACUGCACGCCAUUGGCGUUGCUGCGGUGA